GACGAACGCUGGCGGCGUGCUUAACACAUGCAAGUCGAACGCUGAAGCCUGGCUUUUGUUGGGUGGAUGAGUGGCGAACGGGUGAGUAACACGUGAGUAACCUGCCCUCUUCUUUGGGAUAACGCCCGGAAACGGGUGCUAAUACUGGAUAUUCACUUGCCUUCGCAUGGGGGUGGGUGGAAAGGGUUUUUUCUGGUGGGGGAUGGGCUCGCGGCCUAUCAGCUUGUUGGUGGGGUGAUGGCUUACCAAGGCCUUGACGGGUAGCCGGCCUGAGAGGGUGACCGGUCACAUUGGGACUGAGAUACGGCCCAGACUCCUACGGGAGGCAGCAGUGGGGAAUAUUGCACAAUGGGCGCAAGCCUGAUGCAGCGACGCCGCGUGAGGGAUGGAGGCCUUCGGGUUGUGAACCUCUUUCGCUCAUGGUCAAGCCGCAACUCAUGGUUGUGGUGAGGGUAGUGGGUAAAGAAGCGCCGGCUAACUACGUGCCAGCAGCCGCGGUAAUACGUAGGGCGCGAGCGUUGUCCGGAAUUAUUGGGCGUAAAGGGCUUGUAGGCGGUUGGUCGCGUCUGCCGUGAAAUCCUCUGGCUUAACUGGGGGCGUGCGGUGGGUACGGGCUGGCUUGAGUGCGGUAGGGGAGACUGGAACUCCUGGUGUAGCGGUGGAAUGCGCAGAUAUCAGGAAGAACACCGGUGGCGAAGGCGGGUCUCUGGGCCGUUACUGACGCUGAGGAGCGAAAGCGUGGGGAGCGAACAGG
RNAcentral lists this ribosomal RNA (754 nucleotides) under uncultured Actinomyces sp. RNAcentral describes it as "bacterial SSU rRNA". It matches the Rfam family "Bacterial small subunit ribosomal RNA", at positions 28 to 776 of the family's 1533-position model. Lineage: Bacteria; Bacillati; Actinomycetota; Actinomycetes; Actinomycetales; Actinomycetaceae. The record is from RNAcentral.